Molecule: unclassified non-coding RNA, 406 nt
Filed under: soil metagenome
Description: partial contains 5.8S ribosomal RNA, internal transcribed spacer 2, and large subunit ribosomal RNA
Rfam family: 5.8S ribosomal RNA (bases 1-121)
Source: RNAcentral
GAUGAAGAACGCAGCGAAAUGCGAUACGUAAUGUGAAUUGCAGAAUUCAGUGAAUCAUCGAGUCUUUGAACGCACCUUGCGCCCUUUGGCCAUUCCGAAGGGCAUGCCUGUUUGAGUAUCAUGAACACCUCAACUCUUCAUGGUUUUCCAUGAUGAGCUUGGACUUUGGGGGUCUUGCUGGCCUGUGGGUCGGCUCCUCUCAAAUGAAUCAGCUUGCCGGUUUUUGGUGGGCAUCACAGGUGUGAUAACUAUCUACGCUUGUGGUUUUCCACCAGGGUAACCUUCAGCAGUGGAGGUUCACUGGAGCUUACAAAUGUCUCUCCUCUGUGAGGACAGCCCUUUGAAUGUUUGAUCUCAAAUCAGGUAGGACUACCCGCUGAACUUAAGCAUAUCAAUAAGCGGAGGA